GACGAACGCUGGCGGCGUGCUUAACACAUGCAAGUCGAACGAAGAGCGAUGGAAGCUUGCUUCUAUCAAUCUUAGUGGCGAACGGGUGAGUAACGCGUAAUCAACCUGCCCUUCAGAGGGGGACAACAGUUGGAAACGACUGCUAAUACCGCAUACGAUCUAAUCUCGGCAUCGAGGAUGGAUGAAAGGUGGCCUCUAUUUAUAAGCUAUCACUGAAGGAGGGGAUUGCGUCUGAUUAGCUAGUUGGAGGGGUAACGGCCCACCAAGGCGAUGAUCAGUAGCCGGUCUGAGAGGAUGAACGGCCACAUUGGGACUGAGACACGGCCCAGACUCCUACGGGAGGCAGCAGUGGGGAAUCUUCCGCAAUGGACGAAAGUCUGACGGAGCAACGCCGCGUGAGUGAUGACGGCCUUCGGGUUGUAAAGCUCUGUUAAUCGGGACGAAAGGCCUUCUUGCGAAUAGUUAGAAGGAUUGACGGUACCGGAAUAGAAAGCCACGGCUAACUACGUGCCAGCAGCCGCGGUAAUACGUAGGUGGCAAGCGUUGUCCGGAAUUAUUGGGCGUAAAGCGCGCGCAGGCGGAUUGGUCAGUCUGUCUUAAAAGUUCGGGGCUUAACCCCGUGAUGGGAUGGAAACUGCCAAUCUAGAGUAUCGGAGAGGAAAGUGGAAUUCCUAGUGUAGCGGUGAAAUGCGUAGAUAUUAGAAAGAACACCAGUGGCGAAGGCGACUUUCUGGACGAAAACUGACGCUGAGGCGCGAAAGCCAGGGGAGCGAACGGGAUUAGAUACCCCGGUAGUCCUGGCCGUA
This 806-nucleotide ribosomal RNA is filed under the name uncultured organism. Its description in RNAcentral is "SSU rRNA". It matches the Rfam family "Bacterial small subunit ribosomal RNA", at positions 28 to 804 of the family's 1533-position model. The record is from RNAcentral.